ACCACCAACUUAACUACAUUUUGUACAAAGUUAAGGGUCCUAUUACCAUAAACAUGAAACCAUAUAUCAGGAAUUUGACAAAUUCAUCAUUUAUAUGGAAAGCCCCAAAAAUUAGGGCUUAGUGAGCCAGUGACUCACUGACUCACGUACAAAUUAGGGCUCACAAA
This is a long non-coding RNA of Ipomoea nil (Japanese morning glory), 167 nucleotides long. RefSeq lists it as uncharacterized. The record is from RefSeq and is a predicted model, not a curated record. NCBI's taxonomy places the organism in Eukaryota, Viridiplantae, Streptophyta, Magnoliopsida, Solanales, Convolvulaceae. The transcript has 3 exons.